CCUCAAACUCAGUGGCUUAGAACAGCACACACUGAGUGUCUCCCAGUUCCUGUGGGUCAGGAAUUCAGGAGCAGCUGAACUGUGUGAUUUUGCCUCAGAGUCUCCCAAGAAUCUGCAGCCAGGACAUGGGCAAAGGCAGAAUGUCCACUCACACAGCUGCUAGAGAGACCUCUGUUCCCUGCCGUGGGACGUCUCCACAGCGUGUGGGAUCUCAGUUCCCUCACCAGGGAUCAAACCUGAGUCCCCUGUACUGGAAGCUUGAAGCCGUAACCACUGGACCCCCAAGGAAGUUCCCUUAUUCUCUUUAUUGGAUUUCCCAGGUCCCGAGCGGAGGAGGCUGGCUCGGGACUGCUCGGGCCAGCGCGCCGCCCGAUCGUCUCUGGACUGAAGGUGAGGGGGAGGCGCCCAAGCCUCAGAGAUGCUCCCCACACUCGGAUGGGGCGGAUCUGCAAGUAAUGCCAGGGGCCGGAGGAAGGCUCCCA
Bos taurus (domestic cattle) is the source of this 482-nucleotide long non-coding RNA. NCBI's taxonomy places the organism in Eukaryota, Metazoa, Chordata, Mammalia, Artiodactyla, Bovidae. The record is from Ensembl.